RNAcentral lists this ribosomal RNA (739 nucleotides) under uncultured organism. Its description in RNAcentral is "bacterial SSU rRNA". It matches the Rfam family "Bacterial small subunit ribosomal RNA", at positions 21 to 772 of the family's 1533-position model. The record is from RNAcentral.
GGCUCAGGACGAACGCUGGCGGCGUGCCUAAGCUUAUGCAAGUCGAACGCGAACGGCUCCUUCGGGAGCCUAGUAGAGUGGCAAACGGGUGAGUAACGCGUGGGUAACGUACCCUGAUCCUGGGAAUAACCCUCGGAAACGAGGGCUAAUACCGAAUGUGGCGAACGACCGGUUGGUCGCUCGCUAAAGGUGGCCUCUUCUAUGCUGCCGGGUUGGGAUCGGCCCGCGUCCCAUUAGCUAGUUGGUGAGGUAACGGCUCACCAAGGCCACGAUGGGUAGCCGGCCUGAGAGGGUGUACGGCCACACUGGCACUGAGACAAGGCCAGUCCCCUAUGGGAGGCGCAGCGGGAAUAGUUCACAAUGGGCGAAAGCCUGAUGACGCGACGCCGCGUGAGCGAAGAAACUUCGGGUUGUAAGCUCUGUCAGAGGAAAAGCUCUACGGGUCAAUAGCCCGUGGGAUUGACGGUACCUCCAAGAAGCCCCGGUAAAUACGUGCCACAGCCGCGGUAAUACGUAUGGGGCAAGCGUGUCCGGAUUUACUGGGCGUAAGGGCGCGUAGGCGGUUGUAAGUCAAGUGAAUCCUCGGGCUCAACUCGAGAAUGCUUCGAUACUGGCAAACUAAUGGCGGAAGGAAAGCGGAACUCUUGGUGUAACGGUGGAAUGUGUAGAUUCAGAGACACCGGUGGCAAGGCGGUUCUGGACGCACACUGACGCUCAGCGCGAAAGCGUGGGUAGCAAA